RNAcentral lists this ribosomal RNA (498 nucleotides) under Enterobacter sp. E3.Pb 4. RNAcentral describes it as "bacterial SSU rRNA". It matches the Rfam family "Bacterial small subunit ribosomal RNA", at positions 102 to 596 of the family's 1533-position model. Lineage: Bacteria; Pseudomonadati; Pseudomonadota; Gammaproteobacteria; Enterobacterales; Enterobacteriaceae. The record is from RNAcentral.
ACGGGUGAGUAAUGUCUGGGAAACUGCCUGAUGGAGGGGGAUAACUACUGGAAACGGUAGCUAAUACCGCAUAACGUCGCAAGACCAAAGAGGGGGACCUUCGGGCCUCUUGCCAUCGGAUGUGCCCAGAUGGGAUUAGCUAGUAGGUGGGGUAACGGCUCACCUAGGCGACGAUCCCUAGCUGGUCUGAGAGGAUGACCAGCCACACUGGAACUGAGACACGGUCCAGACUCCUACGGGAGGCAGCAGUGGGGAAUAUUGCACAAUGGGCGCAAGCCUGAUGCAGCCAUGCCGCGUGUAUGAAGAAGGCCUUCGGGUUGUAAAGUACUUUCAGCGGGGAGGAAGGCGUUGAGGUUAAUAACCUCGUCGAUUGACGUUACCCGCAGAAGAAGCACCGGCUAACUCCGUGCCAGCAGCCGCGGUAAUACGGAGGGUGCAAGCGUUAAUCGGAAUUACUGGGCGUAAAGCGCACGCAGGCGGUCUGUCAAGUCGGAUGUG